ACGAACGCUGGCGGCGUGCUUAACACAUGCAAGUCGAGCGAUGAGAUUCCUUCGGGGAUGGAUUAGCGGCGAACGGGUGAGGAACACGUGAGGAAUCUGCCUUCUACACUGGGAUAACUCCGGGAAACUGGGGCUAAUACCGGAUAUGGAACUUGGUGGCAUCACCGAGUUUGGAAAGUUUUUCGGUAGAAGAUGACCUCGCGGCCUAUCAGCUUGUUGGUGAGGUAAUGGCUCACCAAGGCGACGACGGGUAGCCGGCCUGAGAGGGCGACCGGCCACACUGGGACUGAGGCACGGCCCAGACUCCUACGGGAGGCAGCAGUGGGGAAUAUUGGGCAAUGGAGGAAACUCUGACCCAGCGACGCCGCGUGCGGGAUGAAGG
This 382-nucleotide ribosomal RNA is filed under the name uncultured bacterium. RNAcentral's name for it is "bacterial SSU rRNA". It matches the Rfam family "Bacterial small subunit ribosomal RNA", at positions 29 to 414 of the family's 1533-position model. The record is from RNAcentral.